Non-coding RNA from Paramuricea clavata, 743 nucleotides. The record is from the annotation of a GenBank genome assembly. NCBI's taxonomy places the organism in Eukaryota, Metazoa, Cnidaria, Anthozoa, Malacalcyonacea, Plexauridae.
UAGCUAAUGAAAUGAUGACGUAACGCAUGCAGCGAAAUAUUACGGGGAGAAGUUGCUACAUUUGGGAAUUUUACUCUGAUGCUGCGUAUAAAAGGCGCGAGUGUCAAGGUAAGGUUAUUCUACCGAAGUCAGUCAGGAUCAACACUUGUAUACUUUCUUCCAAAGUUUUUUCAGGUUUGUGUGUUUCCUUUUAUCUUAUUUAUCUUAUUUAUCCUCAAGAAAUAUGUCGGGUUUCAUUCCUAAUGUUUUGGUAUUUGGCCAUUCUUUUGUGAGCCGCUUAAAUGACGAUUUAAAUCAUGGUUUCGAUUCCCUUUCCAAACAAAAUUUUAACCUGGCCGAUUCAGGCUUGUACGUAUCUUUGAAGGGCACGGGCGGUCGAACUGUAGACAAAGUGUUUAAGUAUGAUAUUUCCUUCUAAAACCGGAUAUCGUCGUUUUGGAAAUAGGGACGAACGAUUUGUAAAACCUUUCUCCGGAGGUGGUCGGUUCGCGGAUAGACGAUCUCGUACGCUAUAUGCGUGACGAGUUAACCAUAAAGGUCAUUGCCGUGUGCCAAGUUAUAAAUAGGCACGUUCCGCAUUCCGAUACACCGGACCAUGCUUUUAAUGCAAAAGCUUCUAUUCUGCGACAGUAUUUGUCUGUCGUUUUGGCGAAUGAACGUGGCGUAUUUCUUUGGGACCAUCGUACAGUUGACAAUGGUAGAAUUGAUUUGUUGUUUCCUGAUGGGGUUCACUGCAACCCCCA